CGUAGGUAACCUGCCUGGUAGCGGGGGAUAACUAUUGAAGAUAGCUAAUACCGCAUAAGAGUAGAUGUUGCAUGACAUUUACUUAAAAGAUGCAAUUGCAUCACUACCAGAUGGACCUGCGUUGUAUUAGCUAGUUGGUGGGGUAACGGCUCACCAAGGCGACGAUACAUAGCCGACCUGAGAGGGUGAUCGGCCACACUGGGACUGAGACACGGCCCAG
This 220-nucleotide ribosomal RNA is filed under the name uncultured bacterium. RNAcentral describes it as "partial 16S ribosomal RNA". It matches the Rfam family "Bacterial small subunit ribosomal RNA", at positions 116 to 334 of the family's 1533-position model. The record is from RNAcentral.